AUUGUACUCAGAAUGAUAUGUGGAUUUUAAUCACUUUAUGCUGGAACUCAACACUAUUUUGCGCGCGCACGGAGAGCACACCACAUGUAGGAGCAGCAGUCCUAUUUUCAAAGGUUUUUUCCCCACAAAUUUCUUCAACCCCUGCCGCACUUAGCAAACUGCACAACAGUGGGGCUAAACAUUUGCUGUCAGGGGCUUCAAGCAAUACUAGCAUUGACAUGUCAAGAGAAGUUGUCAUUCAAUGUUUGAUGGUGUAUCUUGGGGAUUCUAUAGAUCACCUCUUAAAAGAGUACAAUGACAAUGAUGGAGACACAGAACAUUGCUGAAGAAAGGAUAAAAAUCUACAAAAUCAAGAAUUAAAUGUCAGCAGGAUCUGACAACAUUGGUUUUCUUCCUGCUCUGGGGCUGAGAGUGAUCCACCACCUAAAUAAUACCUGCUCUGUGGUGGUCCUGUGGGGGUCCUAACCUUGAAGAACAGGGCGAAAGGGGGCUAACAAAGCAUGUAGACAAAUGGAUAGAUUACAGUCAGUAAUUGUAGAACUACAAAGUGCUUCUAUAUGGUAAGUGUAGCUGAUAAAAUGGACAGUGAGUGUAGAAACAAGGAGGUGGUUUUAAUGUUGUAACUGAUCAGUGUAGUUGCACUUGUCUUUUAGAAGAACACAUUGUUAUGUUUGUUGGUGCAUGUAAUUAAUAAAAGUGUUCAUAUGAAAAUAGAAAAA
Long non-coding RNA from Trichomycterus rosablanca, 719 nucleotides. RefSeq lists it as uncharacterized. NCBI's taxonomy places the organism in Eukaryota, Metazoa, Chordata, Actinopteri, Siluriformes, Trichomycteridae. The record is from RefSeq and is a predicted model, not a curated record. The transcript has 5 exons.